RNAcentral lists this ribosomal RNA (497 nucleotides) under uncultured bacterium. RNAcentral's name for it is "partial 16S ribosomal RNA". It matches the Rfam family "Bacterial small subunit ribosomal RNA", at positions 28 to 507 of the family's 1533-position model. The record is from RNAcentral.
GAUGAACGCUGGCGGCGUGCCUAAUACAUGCAAGUCGAGCGAACAGACGAGGAGCUUGCUCCUCUGACGUUAGCGGCGGACGGGUGAGUAACACGUGGAUAACCUACCUAUAAGACUGGGAUAACUUCGGGAAACCGGAGCUAAUACCGGAGAAUAUAUUGAACCGCAUGGUUCAAUAGUGAAAGACGGUUUUGCUGUCACUUAUAGAUGGAUCCGCGCCGCAUUAGCUAGUUGGUAAGGUAACGGCUUACCAAGGCAACGAUGCGUAGCCGACCUGAGAGGGUGAUCAGCCACACUGGAACUGAGACACGGUCCAGACUCCUACGGGAGGCAGCAGUAGGGAAUCUUCCGCAAUGGGCGAAAGCCUGACGGAGCAACGCCGCGUGAGUGAUGAAGGUCUUCGGAUCGUAAAACUCUGUUAUUAGGGAAGAACAAAUGUGUAAGUAACUAUGCACGUCUUGACGGUACCUAAUCAGAAAGCCACGGCUAACUACGUG